Molecule: long non-coding RNA, 1289 nt
Organism: Ictalurus punctatus (channel catfish)
Lineage: Eukaryota; Metazoa; Chordata; Actinopteri; Siluriformes; Ictaluridae
Source: Ensembl
CUUCUAUGUAGUUUUAGUCAGCCAGUAAAUGCUGGGAGCAGGGGAUCAGCAGUAAUUUAAAGAUCCUCAUAGAUGGAGCAUUUCGGGUUUGUCGUGACCCCUCUGUGCUGUGUUUAUCCUGAGACACUGUUUGAAAAGACACAUUUGUUGUUCUUUAGUUCUUUAAAAAUGCAGGCCUUUUCAGUGAGACCUGCUUAUUUAGAACUUCGGACGAGAUUCUUCUUCAGUUGUAAUGUUGCUGUGGAUAAAACAUUUGUCAAAUUCGUGUAAAAAGUUUUGCAGACAUCCUCCUUGCCCCUACUACCUUUUUCUUGGUUUGCCUCUUCAUGGGCUCUUAUUCAAAAGCUCUCGGAUUUCGGCUGGAAGCUGUUUCAUGUCAGAUGAAAAGUCGCCGUUGACAGACCAAAGGGUCACGGGAGCCUGGAGCCUAUCCCAGGGAACUUGGGGCACGAGGUGGGGGAUAUCCUGGAUGGGGUGCCUGCCAACCCGUCACAGGUGCUUCACUGCUCACUGUACUGUACAGCAGCUGAAGAUUAUGUAAAGCCCUGAUGCUGGAGGCAGAUGUUUGAGGAGGAAGGAGUGAUAUUUAAGCCUUUCUGCAGAUGUGGGAAAACAGAGUGCACUGGCAGCGCACACACAUAAACACACACACUCACACACACACACACACACACACACACACACACACACACACACACACACACACACACACACACAUCUACCUCUUCCCCUGACAUAAUUAUUAAUGCAGCUAAUUAAUGCUCUGCCUAGACCUAAAUCUAAUACUACCCUCAACCCUAGUAAUGAAAUGGAAAUCUUCUGGCGCUUCUAGUGGGAAUAACCAAAUGUUCCCACAAAGUCAAAACUGUCAGAUCUACUUUUCUUGUGGCACAGCACACUUUACUCCCGCUCUCUUGUUACCUGCUCCUUCCACUUGCUAAAGUAUCGCAGAGAAAUAUUAUGUAUGAAAUUAAAUAUCUAAUAUUACACUUGGCUGACACUUGAUGAAUUACAUUUAAGAGUAGCUGAAGUUAACAAAAACAGCAUGUGGCUGUCUGAGGGAGACAAAUCUCAUUACACAUCAUCCCCCAUGUGUCUACAUAUUGUGAACUCCCUUGUGAGAGCACACACACAACCUACUGAUCUGCACUGCUUUACAGACUGGCCCUAUAUAAAAGUGUGCAAGAUAGUAAUAGUGUAAUGCAAGUCCACUACAAUAUGUGUAUCUGUUUACUGCUUCAGAUAUUCAGUAUAAAAUAUUCUGUAUUCGAAUUUAAACCCAAAAUGGG